Molecule: transfer RNA, 64 nt
Filed under: Trocnadella arisana
Lineage: Eukaryota; Metazoa; Arthropoda; Insecta; Hemiptera; Cicadellidae
Description: tRNA-Met
Source: RNAcentral
AAAAAGAUAAGCUAAACAAAGCUUUCAGGUUCAUACCCUGAAUAUAGAAAAAUUCUUCUUUUUA